This 541-nucleotide long non-coding RNA is filed under the name Neogobius melanostomus (round goby). Its description in RNAcentral is "lncRNA (ENSNMLG00000026899.1)". The record is from RNAcentral. Lineage: Eukaryota; Metazoa; Chordata; Actinopteri; Gobiiformes; Gobiidae.
GUUUGAAGACCUGUGUGAUGUUCCUAAAUAUAUCAUUGACGUUGAUUUAUAAUUAUCUUUUAUUUUUAUUUAAGCUGUUCACUAACGGCCAGAUGGCAAAAUUGAAUAUGAAGAGGAAGGUGAUGGACAAGAAGCCUUUUGAGAAGACUCCUGUUUAUAAAGAUGGAGUCAUGAAAUUGGAUUCAACAGCAACAGAGGGCUCAGUAAGGCUGUGUGCCUCUGAACACCUUAAACAUUCACCACAGGGAGGUGGAGAUCACUGCACUGUUUCUCAGGACUGAAAAACUUCAAUCAGGGACAAAGGAGAAGGUGGUGAAAGACUGGUGUGGAGCAGAAGGAGCUGCGGAAGGAAGGAGGAGGUGUAGGUGAACCGUGCCGGACACCACGCUCUGAAACAGGGACAAACCCAGGAGGCGCUGCACCGUUUUAGAGGAUCAGACAGAGACUUAAGUCAGCCAGGUUUCCUCCGGGUGCUACAGUUACCCCGACCUCAAAAAACAUGCUGCUCAGGUUGGUCCACAGUGGUGGCGCAGCUAUGGAC